This is an RNA transcript of Lycium barbarum (goji berry), 1039 nucleotides long. RefSeq lists it as uncharacterized. The record is from RefSeq and is a predicted model, not a curated record. Lineage: Eukaryota; Viridiplantae; Streptophyta; Magnoliopsida; Solanales; Solanaceae. The transcript is spliced from 6 exons.
GUAUUUAAAGCAAAAACCAAUAGAUGCAAAACACAACCAUCCGAACAAGCAGUAAUUUUCAGUUUUAUGUUGGGGAAAACAUCUUCCAAAAUCUGAAAUUGAGAUAGAGACAACUUCCAACCAAGAAGAGCGAUUAAGUAUGAAUCAUGAGUGGUAGAUCAUAAGUUAGCCAAGACAUGGAUGUAUAUUCAUGGUUUCGACGAAGCCUCUCUACAACCACAACCACUGUUACUCCUAAACCUAACCUUAAAGACAACGAACUACUCUAUGGUGUCACUGAUCAAUUACUUGAUUUUAUCAAAUCCUUUUCCAUUGACACCUUUCGAAAUUUCUCUGUCCCAGAUGAGGAGAAUGGUAACGAAGGCAGUGGAGAUAAACCCGAGAAUGUACGGAAAGAUCUAUCCGAUUGGCAACAGCGUCAUGCUUUGAUUAUUCUUUCUAAAGUCAAGGAACUCUCACAAUUGAGGUUCAAAUUAUGUCCGCGUUAUUUGAAGGAGCAACAGUUUUGGACAAUAUAUUUUGCCCUUGUCAAGGGUUUUGUUGCCAAAUAUGAGCUACAUGCUAUACAGUUAGAUAAGCUCAAACAGAUGAGAAUGGAAAAUGAAAAUACACCAGAUGUUGCUGCAUGUGAAGUUGAGAUGUCUGAAGCGAAACAAACAACAGAUGUAUCACCUACAAAUUCGGAGGAGCACAAUUAGUAUCUCCUUUGGACAUGUCAUUAAUUAUCAGUGCACGAAAAGUGCCCCUUCUAUGAGCAACAUUCAAGCAUUUGAAGGUGCUGCUGACUUCUCUGCUGAUGGCUGACGAUCUGUGCAAGUGACAAGGUGUAUUAUAGUUCUGUAAAUGCUUAGAAGAUUAGAUCUUAGGAUUAAUCUAGGUUGGUUAAAUACAUUUUCUGCUUCUCAUGUUGGUUUACUUUAAAUUUAUCUAGAUGCAACUACUUGGAGCGCUUUUGUUCCCGGCUGACCUUAAUUUAUUAAUGGUACUAGCUUGAUGUUCUCAUACCAGAUAAAUAUUAGGACAAAUGAAUCUUUCUGUC